GGGGGUGGCUGGGCGGCGGCUGCGCCGCGGUGUACGUCACCGCGACCUUCACGCUCAUCCCCGCGAUCGGCGCCGCGGCCACCGUCGC
Molecule: transfer RNA, 88 nt
Filed under: Microbispora amethystogenes
Lineage: Bacteria; Bacillati; Actinomycetota; Actinomycetes; Streptosporangiales; Streptosporangiaceae
Description: tRNA-Arg
Source: RNAcentral